Dermochelys coriacea (leatherback sea turtle) is the source of this 1746-nucleotide long non-coding RNA. RefSeq lists it as uncharacterized. The transcript is spliced from 3 exons. NCBI's taxonomy places the organism in Eukaryota, Metazoa, Chordata, Testudines, Dermochelyidae. The record is from RefSeq and is a predicted model, not a curated record.
CUGGGAUCGAGGAGGAGUUGCAUUGUGAUAACCCAGAACCCCAGGGCCAGGUCAGGGCCUUGCCCUCAAAUGUUACAGAGGAGCCUGGCAGCAUUUCCUGGCUACUGUGAAAGUGCAGAAGGCAAAACCAGCAAAGGCGAGUCUGAUAAGUUAUUCUGCUUGACAUCUGGGCUAAAGACUUCACCAUAUAAGUAACCUAAUUGAUAAGAGAUGAGGCAAUGUAAUCCUACCAGCAUAUGGUGCAAUGAAGAAGGGCAAGAUGGCUCUUGAGCCAUGUAGCUGAUUGAAGAAGCGGAAGUCAGCUCUCGCGCUGAAUGCCCAGGGUUCUUCUGGCUCAGGAAGAGAAUUACUUCCAACUGUACGUACUCUUUCAGGAAGAGAGAAAGAAGCUUUUAAGUUUUUUCUAAUUUUUUUUAAUCUUGUGUAUUGAAACAAAACAAAAUACAAACAAGAGAAAAUAGUAAAAGAAAAAAGCGAUCGAGGAAUCCAAAUAGAACAUCCAAGAACUAACUUAAGGUCCCAAUCCUGCAGUGGACUGCUGCAUCCACUGACUUCUGUGAGGGGCUCUGUGUGGGCCCAGAAGUUUGUCUAGUCACUGUCAAUUGUAUGAUCAGAGCGUAAGUCAACCAAAGCCAUUUAUCAAACCUGGGGCAGGGCGGUAGGAAUUCCUGCGUGCAAACGUAGCUCUGUCACUGAAUCUGUGUGUGUCCUUGGGAAAGUCCUGUAUCGUGGGUGUUUUCUUCAAUCCAGUGCAUACAAUGGGGAUAACAACUCAUACUUAUGUGACGGGGGGGCUGGUCCCAAGGGAGUUAGGCACUCCAUAAGCAGUUAAGGCAGGAGCAGCAGGGGAGUUUUGUAAGGGAAUUUAGACAGGAAUUGCAUGAGGCAGCUACAUCUAGCAAACCUACGUUAACGCCAAUAACUCCCUUCAUGAAACAAAGCAUGCAAGAAUAAAAAUAAUGCAGGCAGAAGUCCAGCAGCAGCAUGGAGGCUAUUCAGUGUAUUGCACUGAAUGCAGCAUGUACAAUUACCUGCCUCAUGGGCAUAUGUGUGCACUUGGUGCAAACACCUCUGGGCCCCUAGAGACACAGUACAGGCUCUGGAAGCCAGAGUGGCUGAACUGGAGGAGCUAAGGGGAGACAGAGACUGAUACAGACAAGACCUUCACGGACACAGUAGUGUGGUCCCACAUCCAGUUCUGACAGCCUCUGUGCUGUUAAGGAGGAUGAAAGUCUCAGGGAAGGAGAACAUCAGGCUGGAGCAAAGGAAAAUAAUCUUAUAGUUGGGACCCUCCUUCCAGAUGUCACAGUGAGGAUACACCUCAUGGGGAGGGACCCAAGUUACUAGGAAGAGCCAGGUAAUAGUAAUGGGGGAUUUGAUUAUUAGAAAUAUAGAACUUCAUGGUAAAUUGCCUGCCAGAUGCAAAGGUUGCAGAUCUCCCAAGACUGUGUGCUAGAUGGACCAUUGGUCUGACCCAGUGUGGCCAAUCUUAUGAGCAGCUGAGCCUAAUAAAGGCUUAUGAGGGCUUAAUCAGGAAGCCCCAUACCAGAGGAAGCUCCUGAGGACAGAGACUCCUCAGGGGCACUAGUUAGGAAGCUACUCCCAUUGGUGUUUACCUGGAGAGCAGAGGCUCAUGGAGACAGAGGCGAAGACAGACUGACAAUGUCCUGGGCAAACCUUAAUGCAAUAAAGUUUCAUCUUAAUUCCAUAAAUUAAACCUUACUGAGUUAGGGUUAAUACCUUUGC